AAUCAACGCUGGCGGCGUGCCUAACACAUGCAAGUCAAACGCGAAAGUGGAGCAAUCCAUGAGUAGAGUGGCAAACGGGUGAGUAACACGUGGAUGACCUGCCUUCGAGUGGGGGAUAACGUCCCGAAAGGGACGCUAAUACCGCAUGACAUCCUGCCUUUGAAGAGGCGGAGAUCAAAGCUGGGGAUCGCAAGACCUAGCGCUUGAAGAGGGGCCCGCGUCCGAUUAGCUAGUUGGUGAGGUAACGGCUCACCAAGGCAACGAUCGGUAGCCGGCCUGAGAGGGCGGACGGCCACACUGGGACUGAGACACGGCCCAGACUCCUACGGGAGGCAGCAGUGGGGAAUUGUUCGCAAUGGGCGCAAGCCUGACGACGCAACGCCGCGUGGAGGAUGAAGAUCUUCGGGUCGUAAACUCCUGUCGAAUGGGACGAAUGCAUCGCGCGCGAACAGCGCGUGAUGGUGACGGUACCGUUAAAGGAAACCCCGGCUAACUCCGUGC
This 501-nucleotide ribosomal RNA is filed under the name uncultured bacterium. RNAcentral describes it as "bacterial SSU rRNA". It matches the Rfam family "Bacterial small subunit ribosomal RNA", at positions 32 to 508 of the family's 1533-position model. The record is from RNAcentral.